GACGGAGGGUGCUAGCGUUGUUCGGAAUCACUUGGCGUAAAGGGCGCGUAGGCGGCCUUGCAAGUCGGUUGGUGAAAGCCCGGGGCUCAACCCCGGAGGUGCGGCCGAGACUGCAGGGCUGGAGGCCGGAAGAGGAGGGUGGAAUACCCAGUGUAGAGGUGAAAUUCGUAGAUAUUGGGUGGAACACCGGUGGCGAAAGCGGCUCUCUGGUCCGGACCUGACGCUGAGGCGCGAAAGCGUGGGGAGCAAACAGG
Molecule: ribosomal RNA, 254 nt
Filed under: uncultured bacterium
Lineage: Bacteria
Description: partial 16S ribosomal RNA
Rfam family: Bacterial small subunit ribosomal RNA
Source: RNAcentral